RNAcentral lists this long non-coding RNA (317 nucleotides) under Phaseolus vulgaris (common bean). Its description in RNAcentral is "long non-coding RNA (PVUL_LNC001156)". The record is from RNAcentral. Lineage: Eukaryota; Viridiplantae; Streptophyta; Magnoliopsida; Fabales; Fabaceae.
GAACAAGGAAGUAGUGACUCGAAACAAUGAGGGGACCACUAUUUAUAGCCUUUGGAGAGGUCGGAAGACGAAGCGUCAUUCUCAUCUCAAUCGUUAGAUCUCCUUGGAUCUAACGGUUCACGACAAGUGGCGCCAAAAAACCUCGUCAUUAAUAUGUGUCACGUCACGUGUUUGGUGCCGCCACCGUCACGUCCAACCUUGGAAGCCCAACUGUCACUACGACCUUGGAUAAAGACUCUUCGGAUUAACCAUCCUCGAGCCGGGUGGGCAAAUGUACCGAUACAGUCCGCACGACCGACACUCUGACUCGGCCUCCG